Molecule: ribosomal RNA, 930 nt
Filed under: Triticum aestivum (bread wheat)
Lineage: Eukaryota; Viridiplantae; Streptophyta; Magnoliopsida; Poales; Poaceae
Description: partial small subunit ribosomal RNA
Source: RNAcentral
AUGCCAACUACAAAUACCAGUGUGCCAACUGAUGUGUCAGUUAGCAGCAUGGUCACAGUCAAAACCACCACAGCUGGUCAGGAAGGCACCACUGCAACUGCAAGUCCCAAGGUGCCUACUGAUAGAGAUGCUUCAAUGCCAAACACAAAAGGAGGUGAUCCAACUAUCAAAGUGCCGUCCCCAAGAGCUGACUUUCAGCAACCAUUAACACAAGAGGAGGUGUUCGACAUUAUAAGUAGGUGCAAGCCUCCAAGGCCGCCAACUACAACACUAUUGCGAACUAAGUCAGUGAAUGAUGCACCCGUGUUUGUGCCGCAAGGAGAUGCCCUGGUCCUUGAACCCUUACGAAGAUCAAACUCUUAUCAUGGUGACGGGUUCUGCGAUGCACCAUCUUUUGACCUCGGCAUAGAUGGUGAUGCUCCAGCACCUGCUCCAGCAGCAGAAAUAGCGGAAGUCGGUGUGAUCAGCAUCGAUGAGUGUGAGUUGGACCCAGCAGCUGUGAAUGAAGGAUGUGAUGCUGCUGAUGCUGGCAAGGCAAUAGCUCAAGAACUAGAUAUUGGUUCACCAGAGAAUUGCCACACCCCGAUAUGCGCAGAACCAGAACUUGGCACGAGCACAUCUCAAAGGUCUUCAUUCAUCGACUACAACAAGAAGAAGACUUUCAGCACCAAUGAGGUAGUGAACAAGCUUUACGCUGCCCUCUUGUAUUGGGUCAGGCAUCACAAAGGAGCAGAGGAUCCACAUGGCAUCCCUGAGAUAAUCAGGUAUGGUGCUUUCUACAUUUCUUUAAAGGAGUUAGUUGAUUCGAUGAAGCCGGUUCAAUGGUUGUCAAAAAUUGUUAUUGAGACUGGAAUCUUACACAUCAUGGAUAACUUACCAGAAGGGUCAAAGAAGGUUGUUAUGCCACUGAGGUUUUCUAUAAAAUUAUAG